This 529-nucleotide ribosomal RNA is filed under the name uncultured bacterium. RNAcentral describes it as "bacterial SSU rRNA". It matches the Rfam family "Bacterial small subunit ribosomal RNA", at positions 777 to 1304 of the family's 1533-position model. The record is from RNAcentral.
AAUAGAUACCCCGGUAGUCCACGCCGUAAACGAUGAGUGCUAAGUGUUAGAGGGUUUCCGCCCUUUAGUGCUGCAGCUAACGCAUUAAGCACUCCGCCUGGGGAGUACGGCCGCAAGGCUGAAACUCAAAGGAAUUGACGGGGGCCCGCACAAGCGGUGGAGCAUGUGGUUUAAUUCGAAGCAACGCGAAGAACCUUACCAGGUCUUGACAUCCUCUGACAACCCUAGAGAUAGGGCUUUCUCCUUCGGGGGACAGAGUGACAGGUGGUGCAUGGUUGUCGUCAGCUCGUGUCGUGAGAUGUUGGGUUAAGUCCCGCAACGAGCGCAACCCUUGAUCUUAGUUGCCAGCAUUCAGUUGGGCACUCUAAGGUGACUGCCGGUGACAAACCGGAGGAAGGUGGGGAUGACGUCAAAUCAUCAUGCCCCUUAUGACCUGGGCUACACACGUGCUACAAUGGAUGGUACAAAGGGCUGCAAACCUGCGAAGGUAAGCGAAUCCCAUAAAGCCAUUCUCAGUUCGGAUUGCAGG